UUUAAUUGAAGAGUUUGAUCAUGGCUCAGAUUGAACGCUGGCGGCAGGCCUAACACAUGCUAUUCGAGCGGGAAGCGAGAGGAGCGUGGGACUUUG
RNAcentral lists this ribosomal RNA (96 nucleotides) under Pseudoalteromonas sp. S3260. Its description in RNAcentral is "partial 16S ribosomal RNA". Lineage: Bacteria; Pseudomonadati; Pseudomonadota; Gammaproteobacteria; Alteromonadales; Pseudoalteromonadaceae. The record is from RNAcentral.